UUUACUUUUUAAAUAAAUCGCACAUAUACCGGCACAUAUCCCGGGGUGCCCCAUGCUGUGUUCUUGUCAAAGAGAACAGGCAUAGAGGGUCGGGUUUAUGGGGUAUAUGGAGGCAUAAC
Molecule: small RNA, 119 nt
Filed under: Parendozoicomonas haliclonae
Lineage: Bacteria; Pseudomonadati; Pseudomonadota; Gammaproteobacteria; Oceanospirillales; Endozoicomonadaceae
Description: t44 RNA
Rfam family: t44 RNA
About the family: This family consists of a number of bacterial RNA genes of between 135 and 170 bases in length. The t44 gene is found between the map and rpsB genes in all species in the full alignment apart from Shigella flexneri.
Source: Rfam by way of RNAcentral